RNAcentral lists this ribosomal RNA (253 nucleotides) under uncultured bacterium. Its description in RNAcentral is "partial 16S ribosomal RNA". It matches the Rfam family "Bacterial small subunit ribosomal RNA", at positions 524 to 776 of the family's 1533-position model. The record is from RNAcentral.
UACGAAGGGGGCUAGCGUUGCUCGGAAUCACUGGGCGUAAAGCGCACGUAGGCGGCUUGUUAAGUCAGGGGUGAAAUCCUGGAGCUCAACUCCAGAACUGCCUUUGAUACUGGCGAGCUUGAGUUCGGGAGAGGUGAGUGGAACUGCGAGUGUAGAGGUGAAAUUCGUAGAUAUUCGCAAGAACACCAGUGGCGAAGGCGGCUCACUGGUCCGGUUCUGACGCUGAGGCGCGAAAGCGUGGGGAGCAAACAGG